CAGCAGCCGCGGUAAUACAGAGGGUGCGAGCGUUAAUCGGAUUUACUUGGCGUAAAGCGUGCGUAGGCGGCUUCUUAAGUCGGAUGUGAAAUCCCUGAGCUUAACUUAGGAAUUGCAUUCGAUACUGGGAAGCUAGAGUAUGGGAGAGGAUGGUAGAAUUCCAGGUGUAGCGGUGAAAUGCGUAGAGAUCUGGAGGAAUACCGAUGGCGAAGGCAGCCAUCUGGCCUAAUACUGACGCUGAGGUACGAAAGCAUGGGGAGCAAACAGGAUUAGAUACCCCCGUAGUCCCUGUCUCUUAUAU
This 301-nucleotide ribosomal RNA is filed under the name uncultured bacterium. RNAcentral describes it as "partial 16S ribosomal RNA". It matches the Rfam family "Bacterial small subunit ribosomal RNA", at positions 509 to 809 of the family's 1533-position model. The record is from RNAcentral.